GCGCAGGAAAAGAAACCAACAGGGAUUGCCCUAGUAACGGCGAGUGAAGCGGCAACAGCUCAAAUUUGAAAUCUGGCGCAAGCCCGAGUUGUAAUUUGUAGAGGAUGCUUCUGGGUAGCGGCCGGUCUAAGUUCCUUGGAACAGGACGUCACAGAGGGUGAGGAUCCCGUAUGUGAUCGGCGCGCGCCCUCUACGUAGCUCCUUCGACGAGUCGAGUUGUUUGGGAAUGCAGCUCUAAAUGGGAGGUAAAUUUCUUCUAAAGCUAAAUACUGGCCAGAGACCGAUAGCGCACAAGUAGAGUGAUCGAAAGAUGAAAAGCACUUUGGAAAGAGAGUUAAAAAGCACGUGAAAUUGUUGAAAGGGAAGCGCUUGCAACCAGACUUGCGGGUGGUGUUCCGCCGGGCUUCUGCCCGGUCUACUCGCCGCUCGCAGGCCAUCAUCGUCUGGGGCCGCCGGAGAAACCGUCAGGAAUGUGGCUCCCUCGGGAGUGUUAUAGCCUGUCGACAUGCGGCGCGCCCCGGGCGAGGUCCGCGCACUGCAAGGAUGAUGGCGUAAUGGUUGUCAGCGGCCCGUCUUGAAACACGGACCAAGGAGUCUAACAUCUAUGCGAGUGUUCGGGUGUCAAACCCCUACGCGUAAUGAAAGUGAACGGAGGUGGGAGCUUCGGCGCACCAUCGACCGAUCCUGAUGUUCUCGGAUGGAUUUGA
This 707-nucleotide ribosomal RNA is filed under the name uncultured Dissoconium. RNAcentral describes it as "eukaryotic LSU rRNA". It matches the Rfam family "Eukaryotic large subunit ribosomal RNA", at positions 50 to 793 of the family's 3401-position model. The record is from RNAcentral. Lineage: Eukaryota; Fungi; Ascomycota; Dothideomycetes; Mycosphaerellales; Dissoconiaceae.